This is a long non-coding RNA of Panicum virgatum (switchgrass), 1848 nucleotides long. RefSeq lists it as uncharacterized. The transcript is spliced from 3 exons. Lineage: Eukaryota; Viridiplantae; Streptophyta; Magnoliopsida; Poales; Poaceae. The record is from RefSeq and is a predicted model, not a curated record.
CCCGGUUUUUCCUGGUUUUUCCCCACCUCCCCACGACCACCAACCCUGCCCCCAGCCCACUCCCGAAGCCUCCCCACCCAAACCACGCAGCUCGGAUCCGCCGCACCUCCCUGCCGUCGGCGCCGCUGCCCCAUCCCCAGCGCUGCUCCUCCCUCGCGACGCCGCACCUCCCGACGCGCCCGCCAACCGCGCAGCUCAGAUCCAGCGCACCUCCCUGCCGUCGGCGAAGCCGCCCCAACCCCGGCGCCGCUCCUCCCUCCCGAUGCCUCACCACCCUCCCCAGCGCCGCACCUUCCCCGCGACGUCGAUCUCCUCCCGACGCGCCCGGCGCCGCUUCCACCGCCACCACCAGCACCUUGGGCUCGGACACCGCCGCGGACGCCGACCUGUGGAUGGCACAACUCCCGCGGCCACCUCCGUCCCGUCUUCAGGUGCGCUGCUCCCCAGCGGUUCGUCAACUCGGCGAGAUCCUCCUCCCGUUCCCGAUGCGGGCAAAUCGGGUUUCCGUUCCCGAAGUUGCACCAUCCUCCCGACACCACGACGCCGCAUCCACCGCCAUGAGCUGCGCCUCGGGCUGGGACGCCGCCGCGGACGCCGACCUGUGGACGGCACGACUCCGGCUGCCUCCACCGCCCCGUCUUCAGGUUCCUGGAGAUCUAGCCCCAAACGUGGGCUGACCUGGAGGAGACCGCCGCGUCGCCCAAGGCCAAGCGUCACAUUGCUUCAGUACACUCCACAACUCCCGUCACUGUCGCCCCCAAGAGAUCCUCCUCAGAACUGCCGACCAGAUCCUCCAAGAUCAUUAUAGUCAUGGUUCCUCAUUGAAAUGUGCUGAUGGUUUAUGCUGUCAGUGUCUUUGAAUGCAACAAAAAUGACAGGUAGUACCUACUUUUAUUACACUCAUCCUUGAUUUCCCUUGGUUUUGGUGAAUUCCCCUGGUAGGUGCUGAUGAUUUGUCCAGUGUGUAGUUUUUAAAUUAGCUUUUAGGUUGUUGCAAGCAGUAGCUGCAUGAUCCUUGUUCCAGUUCCCCCUUCCCAGUUCUUUUGUGUGUCACAUCAGACAUUGAAACAAUGUUGAUUUGCAGAAUUGGUUCUCAACCGAGCAGGGUGGUGUUCGAGAUCACGCAGGAGAGCUGGAGAGAGUAUGAGCUUCUCAGAAACACGGAUACGGCAGGGAGGGUGCGUAUCCCGUGUUGGAUACGUAUCCGACACGGAUACGCCUGGGAUACGGUCGGGAUAUGUAUCCACGGCGUGUCCGCGUAUCCCUGCAACAGUGAUGCUGGAAACUCACGAACGGAUACGUAUCCAACGGCGAUGAGCCGGCCGCGCGCGCCGCUCGGUCCGCCCGCGCUGCUCCGCUCGCCCACGGCUGCAUGCUGCUCCGCUCCUCCCAUGGCCGCGUGCCACCCAUGCCGCUCCUCCCGCCUCCGCCCGCACCGCUCCGCCCGCGGCCGUCCGCGCCGAGCGGAGAGGAGGAGGCGGGAGGAGCGGCAUGGAUUGCCUGAUGCAAGUUAAUAUAUCUGGAUCAAUAUACUUGCUAAUCAUUCAAAAGCUCUGAAGCUUUUGACUUGACAAUAUUGUUGUUCAUUAUACUAUGCUUAUUCCACGCCUGUAUUCUUUUGGUUGAUUUCUUUGCAUAGACCUGUUGUCCUCAGCUGAUUGAUGCUGGGUUAUCGUAGGUGACAACAUAGAGAUGGAGUGAAGGCUUGCGGAAGAAUUGGGCACAAGAAAUAGCAUGUCAAACUUUACGGCUAGCUGAGGCGUUGUUGCUUUGUGGCGUUGAUGCAAUGCAAAAACACUGAGUCAAUUGAGGAAUUAUAAAAUAUUAAUGGCCCUUGCAUCAGUAUCA